Molecule: long non-coding RNA, 679 nt
Organism: Odocoileus virginianus texanus
Lineage: Eukaryota; Metazoa; Chordata; Mammalia; Artiodactyla; Cervidae
Source: RefSeq, a predicted model, not a curated record
GGCGGGGGCGAGGGGACAAGGGUUAAGGGUCCAUUGAAGCUGCUGAAAACCCUCUGAAGGGGCUUUCCUGCCAGUUCCUGUCAGGAGCAAGUUAAGUAUGCUGUUUCCAUCUCAUUCACUGCGUUAGAAGUUCUCUGCAUUAGAAGCCACACUCCAUCUGCAAGGUUUUCCCGAUGGCUCAGCCAGUAAAGAACCCACCGCUAACGCAGGAGACACAGCCAAACACUUAUCCAUAGACUUUGGAUGUUGACAUCUGGAACUGAUUAACACAACAGGCUCUGUGAGAACACUUAAACAUCCUUCAAGAAGUCUACCUCUGCCACCUCAUCUCAUUUGAAGACAAAAUUUUUCAAAUGUUGAAAGCGGAGACAGAUUUGCCCAUUAUCAUCAAAAAGUAACUGAGAAAACAUGCUUCUAUUUGUAUUGGACAUUCUAUUACCUUAAAGCUGGUCUAAAAAGACCUCAUUUAAUUACAUCAGCCAGCAUGACCCCUGAAGGGCGAGAGGAUGGAUGGUCCGUGUAUCGAGCCUUCUCUCUCAGUCUGUUACCCAUCUACAUUUAUAAAAGCACAGAUAUAUUCAGAUGACAUUCCUCCUUCCUUGUAACUUGAGAAUUUUUUCAUGAAGUCAACAGCAACAAUGAGAUGAUAAACUAAACUCAAAAUCUUUUAGACUGUAAG